AGUGAACGCUGGCGGUAGGCCUAACACAUGCAAGUCGAACGGCAGCACAGUAAGAGCUUGCUCUUACGGGUGGCGAGUGGCGGACGGGUGAGGAAUACAUCGGAAUCUACUUUUUCGUGGGGGAUAACGUAGGGAAACUUACGCUAAUACCGCAUACGACCUGCGGGUGAAAGCAGGGGAUCUUCGGACCUUGCGCGAUUGAAUGAGCCGAUGUCGGAUUAGCUAGUUGGCGGGGUAAAGGCCCACCAAGGCGACGAUCCGUAGCUGGUCUGAGAGGAUGAUCAGCCACACUGGAACUGAGACACGGUCCAGACUCCUACGGGAGGCAGCAGUGGGGAAUAUUGGACAAUGGGCGCAAGCCUGAUCCAGCCAUACCGCGUGGGUGAAGAAGGCCUUCGGGUUGUAAAGCCCUUUUGUUGGGAAAGAAAAGCAGCAGGUUAAUACCCCGCUGUUCUGACGGUACUCAAAGAAUAAGCACCGGCUAACUUCGUG
This 492-nucleotide ribosomal RNA is filed under the name uncultured bacterium. RNAcentral describes it as "partial 16S ribosomal RNA". It matches the Rfam family "Bacterial small subunit ribosomal RNA", at positions 29 to 507 of the family's 1533-position model. The record is from RNAcentral.